This 690-nucleotide long non-coding RNA is filed under the name Homo sapiens (human). RNAcentral's name for it is "long intergenic non-protein coding RNA 665". The record is from RNAcentral. Lineage: Eukaryota; Metazoa; Chordata; Mammalia; Primates; Hominidae.
UAGUAGACACGGGGUUUCACCAUGUUGGCCAGGCCGGUCUUGAACUUGUGACGUCAGGUGAUGCACCCGCCUUGGCCUCCCAAAGUGCUGGGAUUACAGGUCCAGAUUUUGAACAAAUCUCGCUAGAGAUUGAACAGAGCUGCGCCUGGAUCCCGCCACAGUGAGGAGACCUGAAGACCAGAGAAAACACAGCAAGCCCCUGGAUCCUCCUGGAAUCCCCGAUCCCUCUUGCUCCCUGGCAGAGUUUUCUAGUCCCUCUUACUUGAAGCAUGUCUUUCAGAGCCCGGCACCACCCAUCUUGAGUAUCUGGUGAGUUCUGUGGUCUGCAUGUCCAUGUUUGGGACAUUCUGGGAAGGGUGGCCCAGGCUGUGAUUUGCCAUCUACUGCAGGCUAUGGAUGGUAUUCAGAAGGGAGGGGAGAUGCUGUGUGCGUGUUCUGAAGGGUUUCCCACUAAACAGAUCAACCCUCUCCAUAACUAUUUGAUUUUUACUUUAUCUCCUCGUUGACUUCACAGUGUCAGUGCAGUUUGUGUAAACAUCUCUAUGGGGUGAUGCAUGCAGAUAAAUGUUUAUGUGAACAUAUAAAGUCUGCAUGUGUGGGUGAACACUCCACAUCAGGUCAUUGUCCAUCAUUACAUAUCUGUGGUGUCUGGCUCAUUCGUCUCGUUUUCUGUCAUUUUACCUACUUUUA